This 253-nucleotide ribosomal RNA is filed under the name uncultured bacterium. Its description in RNAcentral is "partial 16S ribosomal RNA". It matches the Rfam family "Bacterial small subunit ribosomal RNA", at positions 524 to 776 of the family's 1533-position model. The record is from RNAcentral.
UACGUAGGGGGCUAGCGUUGUCCGGAAUCAUUGGGCGUAAAGCGCGUGUAGGCGGUUCGGUAAGUCCGCUGUGAAAGUCGGGGGCUCAACCCUCGAAUGCCGGUGGAUACUGUCGGACUAGAGUACGGAAGAGGCGAGUGGAAUUCCUGGUGUAGCGGUGAAAUGCGUAGAUAUCAGGAGGAAUACCGGUGGCGAAAGCGACUCUCUGGACGGCAACUGACGCUGAGGCACGAAAGCGUGGGGAGCAAACAGG